RNAcentral lists this transfer RNA (71 nucleotides) under Todus mexicanus (puerto rican tody). RNAcentral describes it as "tRNA-Gln". It matches the Rfam family "tRNA". From Rfam's summary of the family: Transfer RNA (tRNA) molecules are approximately 80 nucleotides in length. Their secondary structure includes four short double-helical elements and three loops (D, anti-codon, and T loops). The record is from RNAcentral. Lineage: Eukaryota; Metazoa; Chordata; Aves; Coraciiformes; Todidae.
UAGAAAGUAAUAUAAAGGAAGUAUGAAGGGCUUUGAUCUCUUUCGUGUAGGUUCGAUUCCUACUUUUCUAA